This 420-nucleotide ribosomal RNA is filed under the name uncultured bacterium. RNAcentral describes it as "bacterial SSU rRNA". It matches the Rfam family "Bacterial small subunit ribosomal RNA", at positions 355 to 787 of the family's 1533-position model. The record is from RNAcentral.
UGGGGAAUAUUGCACAAUGGGGGAAACCCUGAUGCAGCGACGCCGCGUGAGCGAAGAAGUAUUUCGGUAUGUAAAGCCCUAUCAGCAGGGAAGAAAAUGACGGUACCUGACUAAGAAGCCCCGGCUAACUACGUGCCAGCAGCCGCGGUAAUACGUAGGGGGGCAAGCGUUAUCCGGAUUUACUGGGCGUAAAGGGAGCGCAGGCGGUCUUGCAAGUCUGAUGUGAAAGCCCGCGGCUCAACUGCGGGACUGCAUUGGAAACUGUGGGACUUGAGUGUCGGAGGGGCAAGUGGAAUUCCUAGUGUAGCGGUGAAAUGCGUAGAUAUUAGGAGGAACACCAGUGGCGAAGGCGGCUUGCUGGACGACAACUGACGACUGAGGCGUCGAAAAGCGUGGGGUAGCAAACAGGAUUAGAUACCC